This 84-nucleotide non-coding RNA is filed under the name Asaccharospora irregularis DSM 2635. Its description in RNAcentral is "c-di-GMP-I riboswitch aptamer". It matches the Rfam family "c-di-GMP-I riboswitch aptamer". Rfam says of the family: GEMM was predicted in a large-scale screen for bacterial structured RNA regulatory elements. Genes associated with GEMM are involved in a diverse array of functions, including chemotaxis regulation, signal transduction, secretion and chitin. The record is from Rfam by way of RNAcentral. Lineage: Bacteria; Bacillati; Bacillota; Clostridia; Peptostreptococcales; Peptostreptococcaceae.
UAACUAAAUAAGCAAACCUAAAGAAAUUUAGUGACGCAAAACUAAAGGGGCUAAAGUUAUAGACCAAGCCAGCCAGUUGCCAAG